UACGUAGGGUGCAAGCGUUAAUCGGAAUUACUGGGCGUAAAGCGUGCGCAGGCGGUUUUGUAAGUCUGUCGUGAAAGCCCCGGGCUCAACCUGGGAAUUGCGAUGGAGACUGCAAGGCUUGAAUCUGGCAGAGGGGGGUGGAAUUCCACGUGUAGCAGUGAAAUGCGUAGAUAUGCGGAGGAACACCAAUGGCGAAGGCAAUCUCCUGGACCUGCACUGACGCUCAUGCACGAAAGCGUGGGGAGCAAACAGG
RNAcentral lists this ribosomal RNA (253 nucleotides) under uncultured bacterium. RNAcentral describes it as "partial 16S ribosomal RNA". It matches the Rfam family "Bacterial small subunit ribosomal RNA", at positions 524 to 776 of the family's 1533-position model. The record is from RNAcentral.